This is a long non-coding RNA of Balaenoptera ricei (Rice's whale), 2469 nucleotides long. RefSeq lists it as uncharacterized. The record is from RefSeq and is a predicted model, not a curated record. The transcript is spliced from 3 exons. Lineage: Eukaryota; Metazoa; Chordata; Mammalia; Artiodactyla; Balaenopteridae.
AUCCGCGAGUGACAGACAUGCAUGCGCGCCGUCGUCCCUGGGGGCGUGGCUUUGUGCCCGCGGGGGCCGGAUGAGGGAAGGCUGCGCAGGCGCAUAGAGUAGUUGGUGGGGAUUUCUGGAGCGGCGGAAGCGUUUUGCGUUACCUGUGCAAAGAGGCGGAGUCAAGAUGGCGGUGUGGAAAGACGUGGAGUUAGUGUCUCCCCACAACUAGGGCGCCUGCCGGCUGCUGUCCUGGCAGCUUGCGGGAUCUUGGUUCACGAGCCCAGGGUCGGGCCAAAGCUCCUGCAGUGGGAACUCUGAGUCCAAACCACUGGACUAACAGAGAACCUCAGACCACAGGGAAUAUUCAUCGGAGUGACGUCUCAUGGAGUUCCUCAUCUCAGCACCAAGACCCAGCUUUACCCAAUAGCCUACAAACCCCAGAGUUGGAAACCUCAGGCCAAACAACCAGUAAGACAGGAACACAAUCCCACUCAUAAAAAAAAAAAAAAAAGAGAGACGGCAAAAAAAUAUGUCAUAGAUGAAGGAGCAAGGUAAAAACCUACAAGACCAAAUAAAUGAAGAGGAAAUAGGUAAUCUACCUGAAAAAGAAUUGAGAGUAAUGAUAGUAAAGAUGAUCCAGAAUCUCAGAAAUAGAAUGGAGGCGCAGAUUGAGAAAAUACAAGAAAUGUUUAACAAAGACCAAGAAGAACUAAAGAACAAACACAGAUGAACAAUGUAAUAACUGAAAUGAAAAAUACACUAGAAGGAAUCAAUAACAGGAUAACUGAGGCAGAAGAACAAAUACGUGAGCUGGAAGACAAAAUGGCGGAAAUAACUGCCGAGGAGCAGAAUAAAGAGAAAAGAAUGAAAAGAAUUGAAAACAAUCUCAGAGACCUCUGGGACAACAAUAAACGCACCAACAUUUGAAUUAUAGGGGCCCCAGAAGAAGAAGAGAAAAAGAAAGGGUCUGAGAAAAUAUUUGAAGAGAUUAUAGUUGAAAACAUCCCUAACACGGGAAAGAAAAUAGUCACCCAAGGCCAGGAAGCACAGAGAGUCCCAUACAGGAUAAACCCCAGGAAAAACACACCAAGACACAUAUUAAUCCGACUAACAAAAAUUAAGUUCAAAGAAAAAAUAUUAAAAGCAGCAAGGGAAAAACAAAAAAUAACAUACAAAGGAAUCCUCAUAAGGUUAUCAGCUGAUUUUUCAGUGGAAACUCUGCAGGCCAGAAGGGAGUGGCAGGAUAUAUUUAAAGUGAUGACAGGGAAAAACCUACAACCAAGAUUACUCUACCCAGCAAGGAUCUCAUUCAGGUUAGAUGGAUAAGUCAAAAGCUUUUCAGACAAGCAAAAGCUAAGAGAAUUCAGCACCACCAAACCAGAUUUACAACAAAUGCUAAAGAAACUUUUCUAAGUGGGAAACACAAGAGAAGAAAAAGACCCACAAAAACAAACCCAAAACAAUUAAGAAAAUGGUAAUAGGAGCAUACAUAUUGAUAAUAACCUUGAAUAUAAAUGGAUUAAAUGCCCCCACCAAAAGACACAGACUGGCUGAGUGGAUACAAAAACAAGACCCAUAUAUAUGCUGUCUGCAAGAGACCCAUUUCAGACCUAGGGACACAUACAGACUGAAAGUGAAGGGAUGGAAAAAGAUAUUCCAUGCAAAUGGAAAUCAAAAGAAAGCUGGAGUAGCAAUACUUGUAUCAGAUAAAAUAGACUUUAAAAUAAAGACUGUUACAAAAGAUAAGGAGGGACACUCCAUAAUGAUCAAAGGAUCAAUCCAAGAAGAAGAUAUAACAAUUAAAAUGUUUAUGCACCCAACAUAGGAGCACCUCAAUACAUAAGGCAAAUGCUAACAGCCAUGAAAGGAAAAAUCGACAGUAACACAAUAAUAGUAAGGGAUUUUAACACCCCACUUAUACCCAUGGACAGAUUAUCCAAACAGAAAAUAAAUAAGGAAACACAAGCUUUAAAUGACACAAUAGACCAGAUAGAUCUAAUUGAUAUUUAUAGAACAUUCCACCCAGAAGUGGCAGAAUACACUUUCUUCUCAAGUACUCAUGGAACAUUCUCCAGGAUAGCUCACAUCUUGGGUCACAAAUCAAACCUCGGAAAAUUUAAGAAAAUUGAAAUGGUAUCAAGCAUCUUUUCUGACCACAAUGCUAUGAGAUUGGAAUUCAAUUAUAGGAAAAAGACUGUAAAAAACACAAAUGCCUGGACGCUAAACAGUGCGCUACUAAAUAACCAAGAGAUCACUGAAGAAAUCAAAGAAGAAAUAAAAAAAUACAUAGAAACAAAUGACAAUGAAAACACAACGAUCCAAAACCUAUGGGAUGCAGCAAAAGCAGUUCUAAGAGGGAAGUUUAUAGCAAUACAAUCUCACCUAAAGAAACAAGAAAAAUCUCAAACAAUCUAACCCUACACUUAAAACAACUAGAGAAAGAAGAACAAAGAAAACCCAAAGUCAGUAGAAGGAAAGAAAUCAUAA